This is a non-coding RNA of Salmo salar (Atlantic salmon), 113 nucleotides long. The record is from Rfam. NCBI's taxonomy places the organism in Eukaryota, Metazoa, Chordata, Actinopteri, Salmoniformes, Salmonidae.
GUAGUUACGGGGACAUGGUGCCCAAGACGAUCGCAGGGAAGAUCUUUGGUUCUAUCUGUUCUCUGAGCGGGGUGCUGGUAAUCGCCCUGCCUGUUCCCGUCAUCGUGUCCAAC